Long non-coding RNA from Gasterosteus aculeatus aculeatus (three-spined stickleback), 571 nucleotides. The record is from Ensembl. Lineage: Eukaryota; Metazoa; Chordata; Actinopteri; Perciformes; Gasterosteidae.
CCGCACACAGUCGAGCAAGGUAAAACUGCUGGGCUCAGAUUGCUGGGGGGGGGGGGACCCGACUGUGAAAGGAUUGAAGCGUUUAACAUAACACGCCGUUUUCAGAACAGACGUUGGAAGGCAAAUAGUGUCUCACGGGGCAACAGUAGCAGACCUGUGAGUGAACCAUCGAGGUGACCUCACCGUUCCUACGACCCGUUCCGCAGCGCCUCUCUAGGAGCUGAGGCGUCGAAGCUAAAACGACACCGAGGAAAAGCCAUAUUCUUCUUGAAGCGUGACAGCGAGUUCCGUGUUCGAGGGAUGUUGGCGGAUCAUCGCAGAUGUCCCGUGUUUGCUGAAAACACAUCAUCCAUCUGGGGGGGUUGUGGCGGUUCUGAUGUGUCUUCUGCUUUUUACCAUAGCGGUCAUUUUUUAUUAUUUUAAAACAACUGAGAAUAUAUCACAUAUAUUUCAGCCACUAUUUUAGUUGGCUGUCAAUCACACUCGUUGAGUCCACAUUAUACUUCACUAGUUUACCAAUGUGAGAAAUAUGCAGCUGAACUACAAUCACAGAUUUAAAAUAGAACAGAGG